GAUGAACGCUGGCGGCGUGCCUAAUACAUGCAAGUCGAGCGAACAGACGAUAAGCUUGCGCCUCUGACGUUAGCGGCGGACGGGUGGGUGACACGUACAUAACCUACCUCUAAGACGUGGAUAACUUCGUGGAACCGGAUCUACUACCAGCUCAUAUGUUGAACCGCUUGGUGCAAUAGUUCUAGGCGCUUUUGCCGUUACUUAUAGAUGAAUCCGCGCCGCAUUAGCUAGUUGGUAAGGUAACGGCUUACCAAGGCAACGAUGCGUAGCCGAUCUGAGAGGGUGAUCGGCCACACUGGAACUGAGACACGGUCCAGACUCCUACGGGAGGCAGCAGUAGGGAAUCUUCCGCAAUGGGCGAAAGCCUGACGGAGCAACGCCGCGUGAGUGAUGAAGGUCUUCGGAUCGUAAAGCUCUGUUAUUAGGGAAGAACAAAUGUGUAAGUAACUAUGCACGUCUUGACGGUACCUAAUCAGAAAGCCACGGCUAACUACGUG
This 497-nucleotide ribosomal RNA is filed under the name uncultured bacterium. RNAcentral describes it as "partial 16S ribosomal RNA". It matches the Rfam family "Bacterial small subunit ribosomal RNA", at positions 28 to 507 of the family's 1533-position model. The record is from RNAcentral.